GACACAUUGUCGGUUUCCGUGGCGAGGUGGAGGGCAGUCCGUCCGCAGCUGCGUUCCUGAGCCUCCACGUUGGCCCCGCCCUCCAGGAGCUCCCUGAGAGAGGACAGCUGAUUGGUCAGGACCGCCAGUAGAAACUGGACCAUCCCUCCUCCAUCCUGCUGGGACGCCAGGUGGAGCGCUGUGUUGCCAUGACGAUCUGUCAGAGUUGGAUCAGCGCCAGCCAACAGCAGCGCCUCCACUGCUUCCUUUUGCUGGGUGAUCACUGCCAGGUGCAAAGGAGUCUGGGAGGAGUCACAGACAGUAUACCUUCAGCUCUGGGCAGGCAGAGCAGAGACGACCUGCGUCAGACUCUUCAGCGCCUCCUGCUGGCUGUGGAGAACCGCCAGGUGGAGCCCACUGAGAGGAGGGAGGAGAGCGUGAAGAGUCACAACACUGAUUACAUGUUAAAUGAUGGAACGUUGAUCUGUGAUAGAAAAACAACUAAAAUUAUUUUCUAUUAAGUAUUGAGUUCUGUCUAUAUGAAAGUCCUGAAGACCAUUAAAGGCUGCAAUGUUU
Seriola aureovittata is the source of this 555-nucleotide long non-coding RNA. RefSeq lists it as uncharacterized. The transcript has 3 exons. The record is from RefSeq and is a predicted model, not a curated record. NCBI's taxonomy places the organism in Eukaryota, Metazoa, Chordata, Actinopteri, Carangiformes, Carangidae.